AUUGAACGCUGGCGGCAUGUUUUACUCAUGCAAGUCGAACGGUAACAGGUUAAGCUGACGAGUGGCGAACGGGUGAGUAAUGCAUCGGAACGUGCCCGAUCGUGGGGGAUAACGCAGCGAAAGCUGCGCUAAUACCGCAUACGAUCUGAGGAUGAAAGCGGGGGACCGUAAGGCCUCGCGCGAUCGGAGCGGCCGAUGUCAGAUUAGGUAGUUGGUGGGGUAAAGGCUCACCAAGCCAACGAUCUGUAGCUGGUCUGAGAGGACGACCAGCCACACUGGGACUGAGACACGGCCCAGACUCCUACGAGAGGCAGCAGUGGGGAAUUUUGGACAAUGGGCGAAAGCCUGAUCCAGCAAUGCCGCGUGCAGGAAGAAGGCCUUCGGGUUGUAAACUGCUUUUGUACGGAGCGAAAAGGCCCUCUCUAAUACAGUGGGCUCAUGACGGUACCGUAAGAAUAAGCACCGGCUAACUACGUGCCAGCCGCCGCAGUAA
RNAcentral lists this ribosomal RNA (493 nucleotides) under uncultured bacterium. RNAcentral's name for it is "partial 16S ribosomal RNA". It matches the Rfam family "Bacterial small subunit ribosomal RNA", at positions 30 to 523 of the family's 1533-position model. The record is from RNAcentral.